GAUGAACGCUGGCGGCGUGCUUAACACAUGCAAGUCGAACGGAAAGGCCCUGCUUUUGUGGGGUGCUCGAGUGGCGAACGGGUGAGUAACACGUGAGUAACCUGCCCUUGACUUUGGGAUAACUUCAGGAAACUGGGGCUAAUACCGGAUAGGAGCUCCUGCUGCAUGGUGGGGGUAGGAAAGUUUCGGCGGUUGGGGAUGGACUCGCGGCUUAUCAGCUUGUUGGUGGGGUAGUGGCUUACAAAGGCUUUGACGGGUAGCCGGCCUGAGAGGGUGACCGGCCACAUUGGGACUGAGAUACGGCCCAGACUCCUACGGGAGGCAGCAGUGGGGAAUAUUGCACAAUGGGCGGAAGCCUGAGGCAGCAACGCCGCGUGCGGGAUGACGGCCUUCGGGGUGUAAACCGCUUUCGCCUGUGACGAAGCGUGAGUGACGGUAAUGGGUAAAGAAGCACCGGCUAACUACGUG
Molecule: ribosomal RNA, 468 nt
Filed under: uncultured bacterium
Lineage: Bacteria
Description: partial 16S ribosomal RNA
Rfam family: Bacterial small subunit ribosomal RNA
Source: RNAcentral